This 878-nucleotide ribosomal RNA is filed under the name delta proteobacterium SCGC AAA240-I07. RNAcentral describes it as "SSU rRNA". It matches the Rfam family "Bacterial small subunit ribosomal RNA", at positions 21 to 917 of the family's 1533-position model. The record is from RNAcentral. Lineage: Bacteria; Deltaproteobacteria.
GGCUCAGACGAACGCUGGCGGCAUGCCUAACACAUGCAAGUCGAACGAGAAAGUUCCUUCGGGAGCGAUUAAAGUGGCGCACGGGUGAGUAACGCGUAGACAAUCUGCCCUUCAGUCUGGGACAACUUUUCGAAAGGAGAGCUAAUACCGGAUAACAAUGUUUAACCUAAGUUAAGUAUUUGAAAGCUUUAUGUGCUGAAGGAGGGGUCUGCGUCCCAUUAGCUAGUUGGUAAGGUAAAGGCUUACCAAGGCGACGAUGGGUAGCGGGUUUGAGAGGACGAUCCGCCACACUGGAACUGAGACACGGUCCAGACUCCUACGGGAGGCAGCAGUGGGGAAUAUUGCACAAUGGAGGCAACUCUGAUGCAGCAAUGUCGCGUGAGUGAAGAAGGCCCUUGGGUCGUAAAGCUCUUUUAUGGGGGAAGAUGAUGACGGUACCCCAAGAAUAAGCACCGGCUAACUAUGUGCCAGCAGCCGCGGUAAUACAUAGGGUGCGAGCGUUGUUCGGAAUUACUGGGCGUAAAGGGCGCGCAGGCGGGAUAGUAAGUCGGAGGUGAAAGCCCGGGGCUCAACCCCGGAGGGUCUUUCGAAACUGCUAAUCUAGAGAGGGUCAGGGGCCGGCAGAAUUCCUGGUGUAGAGGUGAAAUUCGUAGAUAUCAGGAGGAAUACCGGUGGCGAAGGCGGCCGGCUGGGGCCACUCUGACGCUGAGGCGCGAAAGCGUGGGGAGCAAACAGGAUUAGAUACCCUGGUAGUCCACGCCGUAAACGAUGAGCACUGGACGUCCGGAGGGUUCGACCCUUCUGGGUGUCUCAGCUAACGCAUUAAGUGCUCCGCCUGGGGAGUACGGUCGCAAGACUAAAACUCAAUGAAUGACGGU